AGCAGCCGCGGUAAUUCCAGCUCCAAUAGCGUAUAUUAAAGUUGUUGCAGUUAAAAAGCUCGUAGUUGAACUUCGGGAUCAAGGGAUCGGUCAUGCUUUUGUAUGUACUGGUCUUAUUGGUUCUCACCUUCUAAAGAACCAUAAUGUCAUUCAUUUGAUGUUAUGGGGAAUUAGGACUGUUACCUUGAAAAAAUUAGAGUGUUUAAAGCAGGCUUACGCUUGAAUACAUUAGCAUGGAAUAAUGAAAUAGGACAUCCGAUUCUAUUUUGUUGGUUUCUAGGAUCGAUGUAAUGAUUAAUGGGGAUAGUUGGGGGCAUUAGUAUUCAAUUGUCAGAGGUGAAAUUCUUGGAUUUAUUGAAGACUAACUACUGCGAAAGCAUUUGCCAAGGAUGUUUUCAUUAAUCAAGAACGAAAGUUAGGGGAUCGAAGACGAUCAGAUACCGUCGUAGUCUUAACCAUAAACUAUGCCGACUAGGGAUCGGAUGAUGUUAAUUUUAAUGA
This 501-nucleotide ribosomal RNA is filed under the name uncultured fungus. RNAcentral describes it as "SSU rRNA". It matches the Rfam family "Eukaryotic small subunit ribosomal RNA", at positions 569 to 1074 of the family's 1831-position model. The record is from RNAcentral. Lineage: Eukaryota; Fungi.